GAUGAACGCUGGCGGUAUGCUUUACACAUGCAAGUCGUACGAGAGUUUUGAACUCAAGUGGCGGACGGGUGAGUUACACGUAAGAAUUUGCCUUUAGGAGGGGGACAACAACUGGAAACGGUUGCUAAUACCCCAUAUGCUUUCGAGUGAAACGGUUUUUCCGCCUAAAGAGAAGCUUGCGGCUGAUUAGCUUGUUGGUAAGGUAAUGGCUUACCAAGGCGACGAUCAGUAUCUGGUUUGAGAGGACGAUCAGACACACUGGAACUGAGACACGGUCCAGACUCCUACGGGAGGCAGCAGUGGGGAAUUUUCCGCAAUGGGCGAAAGCCUGACGGAGCAAUACCGCGUGAGGGAUGAAUGCCUAUGGGUUGUAAACCUCUUUUUUCAGGGAGGAAUCAAUGACGUUACCUGAAGAAUAAGCAUCGGCUAACUCCGUGCCAGCAGCCGCGGUAAGACGGAGGAUGCAAGUGUUAUCCGGAAUCACUGGGCGUAAAGCGUCUGUAGGUGGUUUGAUAAGUCAACUGUUAAAUCUUGAGGCUCAACCUCAAAACCGCAGUCGAAACUAUUAGAC
This 571-nucleotide ribosomal RNA is filed under the name uncultured bacterium. Its description in RNAcentral is "bacterial SSU rRNA". It matches the Rfam family "Bacterial small subunit ribosomal RNA", at positions 28 to 641 of the family's 1533-position model. The record is from RNAcentral.